GUGCCAGCAGCCGCGGUAAUACGGAGGGUGCGAGCGUUGUCCGGAAUCAUUGGGUGUAAAGGGUGCGUAGGCGGGCUGCUAAGUCUGGGGUGAAAUCCUGCCGCUUAACGGGAGAAUGGCCCCCGAUACUGGCAGUCUUGAGUACAGAAGAGGUCGGUGGAAUUCGUAGUGUAGCGGUGAAAUGCAUAGAUAUUACGAAGAACACCAGUGGCGAAGGCGGCCGGCUGGUCUGUAACUGACGCUGAGGCACGAAAGCGUGGGGAGCGAACAGGAUUAGAUACCCUGGUAGUCCACGCUGUAAACGAUGUAUGCUAGGUGUCGGCCCUUCGGGGUCGGUGCUGCAGUUAAUGCAGUAAGCAUGCCACCUGGGGAGUACGUCGGCAACGAUGAAACUCAAAGGAAUUGGCGGGG
This 411-nucleotide ribosomal RNA is filed under the name uncultured prokaryote. RNAcentral's name for it is "bacterial SSU rRNA". It matches the Rfam family "Bacterial small subunit ribosomal RNA", at positions 505 to 918 of the family's 1533-position model. The record is from RNAcentral.